CGUCGCCGAGGGCACGCCGGUGCCCCAGUGGGCGGCGGAGUUCGACGGGUGGCUGCAGGAGGCGCUCCUCGCGGGCGGGAGGCACGACGACGUGAAGCAGUACGAGGAGAAGGCGCCGAACGGUAAGAUGGCGCACCCGUCGCCGGACCACUUCCUCCCGCUGCACGUCGCGCUCGGCGCCGCCGGUGAGGGGGCCAAGGCGG
RNAcentral lists this unclassified non-coding RNA (203 nucleotides) under Hevea brasiliensis (rubber tree). Lineage: Eukaryota; Viridiplantae; Streptophyta; Magnoliopsida; Malpighiales; Euphorbiaceae. The record is from RNAcentral.